RNAcentral lists this ribosomal RNA (447 nucleotides) under uncultured bacterium. RNAcentral describes it as "partial 16S ribosomal RNA". It matches the Rfam family "Bacterial small subunit ribosomal RNA", at positions 28 to 523 of the family's 1533-position model. The record is from RNAcentral.
GAUGAACGCUGGCGGCAGGCUUAACACAUGCAAGUCGAGCGCCCCGCAAGGGGAGCGGCAGACGGGUGAGUAACGCGUGGGAAUCUACCCAUCACUACGGAACAACUCCGGGAAACUGGAGCUAAUACCGUAUACGUCCUUCGGGAGAAAGAUUUAUCGGUGAUGGAUGAGCCCGCGUUGGAUUAGCUAGUUGGUGGGGUAAUGGCCCACCAAGGCGACGAUCCAUAGCUGGUCUGAGAGGAUGAUCGGCCACACUGGGACUGAGACACGGCCCAGACUCCUACGGGAGGCAGCAGUAGGGAAUAUUGGACAAUGGGCGCAAGCCUGAUCCAGCCAUGCCGCGUGAGUGAUGAAGGCCCUAGGGUUGUAAAGCUCUUUCACCGGUGAAGAUAAUGACGGUAACCGGAGAAGAAGCCCCGGCUAACUUCGUGCCAGCAGCCGCCGUAA